RNAcentral lists this ribosomal RNA (470 nucleotides) under uncultured organism. RNAcentral's name for it is "bacterial SSU rRNA". It matches the Rfam family "Bacterial small subunit ribosomal RNA", at positions 28 to 507 of the family's 1533-position model. The record is from RNAcentral.
GACGAACGCUGGCGGCGUGCCUAACACAUGCAAGUCGAGCGGAGAGAUUGUCGUAUUUAUAUGACAUGAUCUUAGCGGCGGACGGGUGAGUAACACGUGGGUAACCUGCCUCAAAGUGGGGGAUAGCCUUUCGAAAGGAAGAUUAAUACCGCAUAAGAUUGUAGCAUCACAUGAUGCAGCAAGAAAAGGAGCAAUCCGCUUUGAGAUGGACCCGCGGCGCAUUAGCUAGUUGGUGAGGUAACGGCUCACCAAGGCCACGAUGCGUAGCCGACCUGAGAGGGUGAUCGGCCACAUUGGAACUGAGAUACGGUCCAGACUCCUACGGGAGGCAGCAGUGGGGAAUAUUGCACAAUGGGCGAAAGCCUGAUGCAGCAACGCCGCGUGAGUGAUGAAGGCUUUCGAGUCGUAAAGCUCUUUGAUCAGGGAUGAUAAUGACAGUACCUGAAAAACAAGCCACGGCUAACUACGUG